This 477-nucleotide ribosomal RNA is filed under the name uncultured bacterium. RNAcentral's name for it is "partial 16S ribosomal RNA". It matches the Rfam family "Bacterial small subunit ribosomal RNA", at positions 30 to 507 of the family's 1533-position model. The record is from RNAcentral.
AUUGAACGCUGGCGGCAUGCCUUACACAUGCAAGUCGAACGGUAACAGGUUAAGCUGACGAGUGGCGAACGGGUGAGUAAUGUAUCGGAACGUGCCCAGUCGUGGGGGAUAACUGCUCGAAAGAGCAGCUAAUACCGCAUACGACCUGAGGGUGAGAGCGGGGGAUCGCAAGACCUCGCGCGAUUGGAGCGGCCGAUAUCAGAUUAGGUAGUUGGUGAGGUAAAGGCUCACCAAGCCGACGAUCUGUAGCUGGUCUGAGAGGACGACCAGCCACACUGGGACUGAGACACGGCCCAGACUCCUACGGGAGGCAGCAGUGGGGAAUUUUGGACAAUGGGCGCAAGCCUGAUCCAGCCAUGCCGCGUGCGGGAAGAAGGCCUUCGGGUUGUAAACCGCUUUUGUCAGGGAAGAAAAGGUUCUGGCUAAUACCUGGGACUCAUGACGGUACCUGAAGAAUAAGCACCGGCUAACUACGUG